This 1713-nucleotide unclassified non-coding RNA is filed under the name uncultured fungus. Its description in RNAcentral is "sequence contains 18S rRNA gene, ITS1, 5.8S rRNA gene, ITS2, 28S rRNA gene". The stretch from base 555 to 1713 matches the Rfam family "Eukaryotic large subunit ribosomal RNA", at positions 1 to 961 of the family's 3401-position model. The record is from RNAcentral. Lineage: Eukaryota; Fungi.
GGAUGGAUCAUUAACCAAACCUAAAAAAAUUGGAGGGAACUAAAAAGCCUUCCAAUUUUAACCCCUGUGAACUGUAACCGUCUAUAUAUAUGCAAGUUUCGACUUCAUAUAUAUCUUUUUUUAAACCCUAUAACCUAAAAUAAAAUAACAAAAAACACUAUAAUAAACUUCGGUUUGUUAUAUUUUAAAAAAUGACAACUUUCAACAACGGAUCUCUAGGCUCUUGCAACGAUGAAGAGCGCAGCGAAAUGCGAUACGUAAUGUGAAUUGCAGGACUCAGUGAAUCAUCAAAUCCUUGAACGCAAAUGGCGGUUCGUACCCUCAAAAGUAUGGACCAUGUCUGUUUGAGUGUUAGAUAAUCUCUCUCAACAAGAAAUUGUUGGAAUUGGUACUUGAAUAACCUUGUUAUUCAUUUACUGAAAUAUAUUAUACAUGGAGUGUAACAAGUGUUAACUCUAGACUAGUUACGUAAUAGACCUUUGGGUUUUUUCUUAGCUAGGAUAAGAAGUAAAUUACUAUUACAAUUCAUAAGGCUUAAAAAACAAUAUCUAAUAUGACCUCAAAUCAGGCAAGAUUACCCGCUGAACUUAAGCAUAUUAAUAAGCGGAGGAAAAGAAACUAACAAGGAUUCCCUUAGUAGCGGCGAGCGAAGAGGGAUUAAAGCUCAAAUUUAAAAUCUGGCGUCUUUGACGUCCGAAUUGUAGUUUAUGGAUUUACUCUCAAGGGCGACACUUGGUGAAAAUUCUUUGGAACAAGAUGUCAAGGAGGGUGAUAACCCCGUCUACCACUAAGUACAGUCGUCUGUAGAAGGUAUUUUCUUAGAGUCGAGUUGUUUGGGAAUGCAGCUCAAAAUGGGUGGUAAAUUUCAUCUAAAGCUAAAUAUUGGCGAGAGACCGAUAGCAAACAAGUACCGUGAGGGAAAGAUGAAAAGAACUUUGAAAAGAGAGUUAAAAGUACGUGAAAUUGUUGAAAGGGAAGCAAUUGGAACCAGUGUUACAGUAGCUAUUAUCAAUCACUUUGUUAGGCCAUUAGUGUAUGGCAUACCCAAAAGGAUGUUAUACAUUAGUUUAAGGUCGAAUAAAGUUGUGCUCUAAUGGUUAUUGUGGUCAACAUCAAUUUGACUAUUAAUAGAAGGGUAGGGAAUCAGGUAGAUUGCUCCGGCAAUUUUUAUAGAUCUCUAUUCCCGUUAUUGGUUAGAUUGAGGCAAAGAUAUAUUCUGUUGCACAAUGUACGUUUUUACGAAGCCAAGUUGUACUAGCGUUCAUAAGAUCUACGAAGAGCCAAGCUGUUCCGGGUCUUAUGGGCGUUACCUUGCUUUCUUGGUACUUCAGUACAUUUAAGAUGUUUGACGAAAUGGUUUCAAUCGACCCGUCUUGAAACACGGACCAAGGAGUCUAACACCAGUGCAAGUAUAAAAGUUUAGAAAACUUUUAGAAUGGCAUAAUGAAAGUGAAGGUAUAUUCGGUAUACUAAAGGAGGGACUUGCUAAAUUCCGAUUUAGUAAUGCACCUUCGGCCGAUCUGGAUAUUUUUUGAAAGAUUCGAGCUCGAGCAUUGUUGUUAGGACCCGAAAGAUGUGUGAACUAUGCCUGAAUAGGAUGAAGUCGAGGGAAACCUCGAUGGAGGUCCGUAGCGAUACUGACGUGCAAAUCGUUCGUCAAAUUUGGGUAUAGGGGCGAAAGACUAAUCGAACCAUCUAGUAGCUGGUUCCCGU